Molecule: small nucleolar RNA, 135 nt
Organism: Cercocebus atys (sooty mangabey)
Lineage: Eukaryota; Metazoa; Chordata; Mammalia; Primates; Cercopithecidae
Source: Ensembl
GGGUUCUGAUGCGGGAAGAGUAGCUUCUAGUUGGUGGUGCCCACCUCACAUCAGCCAGAGACAAAGCAACCCCUUGUUUAUCCCUGCUUGACUUUUGGCCUGUGUCUAUGCCUGGUCCAUGCCUUGAUAGGAAGG